Molecule: ribosomal RNA, 500 nt
Filed under: uncultured bacterium
Lineage: Bacteria
Description: partial 16S ribosomal RNA
Rfam family: Bacterial small subunit ribosomal RNA
Source: RNAcentral
AUUGAACGCUGGCGGCAUGCCUUACACAUGCAAGUCGAACGGCAGCACGGACUUCGGUCUGGUGGCGAGUGGCGAACGGGUGAGUAAUGUAUCGGAACGUACCCUUCAGUGGGGGAUAACUAUCCGAAAGGAUAGCUAAUACCGCAUAUUCUCUGAGGAGGAAAGCGGGGGAUCGCAAGACCUCGCGCUGAUGGAGCGGCCGAUAUCAGAUUAGCUAGUUGGUGGGGUAAAGGCCUACCAAGGCGACGAUCUGUAGCGGGUCUGAGAGGAGGAUCCGCCACACUGGGACUGAGACACGGCCCAGACUCCUACGGGAGGCAGCAGUGGGGAAUUUUGGACAAUGGGGGCAACCCUGAUCCAGCCAUGCCGCGUGAGUGAAGAAGGCCUUCGGGUUGUAAAGCUCUUUCGGCCGGGAAGAAAUCGCGUGAGUUAAUACCUUGCGUGGAUGACGGUACCGGAAUAAGAAGCACCGGCUAACUACGUGCCAGCCGCCGCCGUAA